UACGUAGGUGGCGAGCGUUGUCCGGAUUUACUGGGCGUAAAGAGCGCGCAGGCGGCUGGUCAAGUCCGAUGUGAAAGCUCCCGGCUUAACUGGGAAAUUGCAUCGGAAACUGAUCGGCUGGAAGGUGGGAGAGGGUAGCGGAAUUCCCGGUGUAGUGGUGAAAUGCGUAGAUAUCGAGAGGAACACCGGUGGCGAAGGCGGCCAACUGGACAGAUACUGACGCUGAGACACGAAAGCGUGGGGAGCAAACAGG
RNAcentral lists this ribosomal RNA (253 nucleotides) under uncultured bacterium. RNAcentral describes it as "partial 16S ribosomal RNA". It matches the Rfam family "Bacterial small subunit ribosomal RNA", at positions 524 to 776 of the family's 1533-position model. The record is from RNAcentral.